CGGAUGGGUGAGUAACACGUGGAUAACCUACCUAUAAGACUGGGAUAACUUCGGGAAACCGGAGCUAAUACCGGAUAAUAUAUUGAACCGCAUGGUUCAAUAGUGAAAGACGGUUUUGCUGUCACUUAUGGAUGGAUCCGCGCCGCAUUAGCUAGUUGGUAAGGUAACGGCUUACCAAGGCAACGAUGCGUAGCCGACCUGAGAGGGUGAUCGGCCACACUGGAACUGAGACACGGUCCAGACUCCUACGGGAGGCAGCAGCC
This 263-nucleotide ribosomal RNA is filed under the name uncultured Staphylococcus sp. RNAcentral's name for it is "partial 16S ribosomal RNA". It matches the Rfam family "Bacterial small subunit ribosomal RNA", at positions 99 to 355 of the family's 1533-position model. Lineage: Bacteria; Bacillati; Bacillota; Bacilli; Caryophanales; Staphylococcaceae. The record is from RNAcentral.